GGCCCUGUAGUGUAGUGGUUAUCACUGCGGAUUCUGAUUCUUGUAGUAGAUUCCGCCAACCCAGGUUCGAGUCCUGGCAGGGCCU
Molecule: transfer RNA, 85 nt
Filed under: Panus rudis PR-1116 ss-1
Lineage: Eukaryota; Fungi; Basidiomycota; Agaricomycetes; Polyporales; Panaceae
Description: tRNA-Gln
Rfam family: tRNA
About the family: Transfer RNA (tRNA) molecules are approximately 80 nucleotides in length.
Source: RNAcentral